CGGUUGAUCCUACCGGACCCGACCGCUAUUUGGGUGAGGAUAAGCCAUGCGUGCCGUAUGGGAUUCCUAAAAAUCCCAUGGCGAACUGCUUAAUAACACAUGAUCAACUUACCCUAUGGAGAAAAAUAACCUCGGGAAACUGAGGAUAAUUUUUCAUAGUUGAAUAGGCUUGGAAAAGUUAUUCAACGAAUGAGAUAAGGAAAAUGGUUCUUAUCUGCCAUAGGAUAGGAUCGUGUUCGAUUAUGGUUGUUGGUGAGGUAACGGCUCACCAAGCCGAUAAUCGAUAGGGGCCGUGAGAGCGGGAGCCCCAAGAUGGGUACUGAGACAACGACCCAGGCCUUACGAGGCGCAGCAGGCGCGAGACCUCCGCAAUACACGAAAGUGUGACGGGGUUACCCAAAGUGUUCACUUUUGAACUGUGGUAGGUGAGUAAUGUCCCCUACUAGAAAGGAGAGGGCAAGGCUGGUGCCAGCCGCCGCGGUAAAACCAGCUCUUCAAGUGGUCGGGAUAAUUAUUGGGCUUAAAGUGUCCGUAGCCGGUUUAGUAAGUUCCUGGUAAAAUCGGAUAGCUUAACUAUCCGCAUGCUAGGAAUACUGCUAUACUAGAGGGCGGGAGAGGUCUGAGGUACUAUAGGGGUAGGGGUGAAAUCUUAUAAUCCUUGUAGGACCACCAGUGGCGAAGGCGUCAGACUGGAACGCGCCUGACGGUGAGGGACGAAAGCCAGGGGAGCGAACCGGAUUAGAUACCCGGGUAGUCCUGGCCGUAAACGAUGCAUACUAGGUGAUGGUACGGCCGUGAGCCGUAUCAGUGCCGUAGGGAAACCGUUAAGUGUGCCGCCUGGGAAGUACGGUCGCGAGGCUAAAACUUAAAGGAAUUGGCGGGGGAGCAC
Molecule: ribosomal RNA, 889 nt
Filed under: uncultured archaeon
Lineage: Archaea
Description: bacterial SSU rRNA
Rfam family: Archaeal small subunit ribosomal RNA
Source: RNAcentral